AUUGAACGCUGGCGGCAUGCCUAACACAUGCAAGUCGAACGAAGGUAAGGGGCAACUCUUACUUUAGUGGCGGACGGGUGAGUAAUACGUAGGAAUCUACCUUAAGGUGGGGGAUAACUCGGGGAAACUCGAGCUAAUACCGCAUAUUCUCUAUGGAGUAAAGGGGGCUUCGGCUCUCGCCUUAAGAUGAGCUUACGCCGGAUUAGCUAGUUGGUGGGGUAAAGGCCUACCAAGGCAACGAUCCGUAGCUGGUCUGAGAGGAUGAUCAGCCACACUGGGACUGAGAUACGGCCCAGACUCCUACGGGAGGCAGCAGUGGGGAAUAUUGGACAAUAGGCGAAAGCCUGAUCCAGCAAUGCCGCGUGUGUGAAGAAGGCCUUCGGGUUGUAAAGCACUUUCAGUGGGGAGGAAUGGUUCAGGGUUAAUACCCCUGAAAAGUGACGUUACCCACAGAAGAAGCACCGGCUAACUCUGUGCCAGCCGCCGCUGUAA
This 492-nucleotide ribosomal RNA is filed under the name uncultured bacterium. RNAcentral describes it as "partial 16S ribosomal RNA". It matches the Rfam family "Bacterial small subunit ribosomal RNA", at positions 30 to 523 of the family's 1533-position model. The record is from RNAcentral.